GUGGGGAAUAUUGGACAAUGGGCGCAAGCCUGAUCCAGCCAUGCCGCGUGAGUGAUGAAGGCCUUAGGGUUGUAAAGCUCUUUCAGUGGGGACGAUAAUGACGGUACCCACAGAAGAAGCCCCGGCUAACUUCGUGCCAGCAGCCGCGGUAAUACGAAGGGGGCUAGCGUUGUUCGGAUUUACUGGGCGUAAAGCGCACGUAGGCGGAUCGUUAAUUCGGGUGUGAAAUCCUGGAGCUCAACUCCAGAACUGCCUUCGAUACUGGCGAUCUUGAGUCCGGAAGAGGUGAGUGGAACUCCUAGUGUAGAGGUGGAAUUCGUAGAUAUUAGGAAGAACACCAGUGGCGAAGGCGGCUCACUGGUCCGGUACUGACGCUGAGGUGCGAAAGCGUGGGGAGCAAACAGGAUUAGAAACCCCAGUAGUCC
This 425-nucleotide ribosomal RNA is filed under the name uncultured bacterium. RNAcentral describes it as "bacterial SSU rRNA". It matches the Rfam family "Bacterial small subunit ribosomal RNA", at positions 354 to 796 of the family's 1533-position model. The record is from RNAcentral.